This 444-nucleotide ribosomal RNA is filed under the name uncultured bacterium. Its description in RNAcentral is "bacterial SSU rRNA". It matches the Rfam family "Bacterial small subunit ribosomal RNA", at positions 331 to 792 of the family's 1533-position model. The record is from RNAcentral.
CCAGACUCCUACGGGAGGCAGCAGUGGGGAAUAUUGCACAAUGGGGGAAACCCUGAUGCAGCGACGCCGCGUGAAGGACGAAGUAUUUCGGUACGUAAACUUCUAUCAGCAGGGAAGAAAAUGACGGUACCUGACCAAGAAGCCCCGGCUAACUACGUGCCAGCAGCCGCGGUAAUACGUAGGGGGCAAGCGUUAUCCGGAUUUACUGGGUGUAAAGGGAGCGUAGACGGCCAUGCAAGUCUGAUGUGAAAGCCCGGGGCUCAACCCCGGGACUGCAUUUGGAACUUUGUGGCUGGAGUGUCGGAGAGGCAGGCGGAAUUCCUAGUGUAGCGGUGAAAUGCGUAGAUAUUAGGAGGAACACCAGUGGCGAGGGCGGCCUGCUGGACGAUGACUGACGUUGAGGCUCGAAAGCGUGGGGAGCAAACAGGAUUAGAUACCCCUGUA